GGCUGGUCCGAGUGCAGUGGUGUUUACAACUAAUUGAUCACAACCAGUUACAGAUUUCUUUGUUCCUUCCCCACUCCACUGCUUCACUUGAUUAGCCUUUA
Molecule: Y RNA, 101 nt
Filed under: Aotus nancymaae (Ma's night monkey)
Lineage: Eukaryota; Metazoa; Chordata; Mammalia; Primates; Aotidae
Description: Y RNA (ENSANAG00000009997.1)
Rfam family: Y RNA
About the family: Y RNAs are components of the Ro ribonucleoprotein particle (Ro RNP), in association with Ro60 and La proteins. The Y RNAs and Ro60 and La proteins are well conserved, but the function of the Ro RNP is not known.
Source: Rfam by way of RNAcentral